This 253-nucleotide ribosomal RNA is filed under the name uncultured bacterium. Its description in RNAcentral is "partial 16S ribosomal RNA". It matches the Rfam family "Bacterial small subunit ribosomal RNA", at positions 524 to 776 of the family's 1533-position model. The record is from RNAcentral.
UACGAAGGGGGCUAGCGUUGCUCGGAAUUACUGGGCGUAAAGCGCACGUAGGCGGCUUUCUAAGUCGGGGGUGAAAUCCUGGAGCUCAACUCCAGAACUGCCUUCGAUACUGGCGAUCUUGAGUCCGGAAGAGGUGAGUGGAACUCCUAGUGUAGAGGUGGAAUUCGUAGAUAUUAGGAAGAACACCAGUGGCGAAGGCGGCUCACUGGUCCGGUACUGACGCUGAGGUGCGAAAGCGUGGGGAGCAAACAGG